AUUGAACGCUGGCGGCAUGCCUAACACAUGCAAGUCGAACGGCAGCACAGAUAUAGUUUACUAUAUUGGGUGGCGAGUGGCGGACGGGUGAGUAACGCGUGGGUAUAUGACCUAAUGACGGGGACAACUUGCGGAAACGCGAGCUAAUACCGGAUAAGCUCUGAGGAGGAAAGCUGGGGAUCUGGCGACAGACCUGGCGCUUUAGGAGUAACCUGCGUCCAAUUAGCUAGUUGGUAGGGUAAAGGCCUACCAAGGCGACGAUUGGUAGCUGGUCUGAGAGGACGGACAGCCACACUGGGACUGAGACACGGCCCAGACUCCUACGGGAGGCAGCAGUGGGGAAUAUUGGACAAUGGGGGGAACCCGGUACGAUCCACGCAAUAGCCGCGUGUGUGAAGAAGG
RNAcentral lists this ribosomal RNA (402 nucleotides) under uncultured bacterium. RNAcentral's name for it is "bacterial SSU rRNA". It matches the Rfam family "Bacterial small subunit ribosomal RNA", at positions 29 to 414 of the family's 1533-position model. The record is from RNAcentral.